Molecule: long non-coding RNA, 1237 nt
Filed under: Coturnix japonica (Japanese quail)
Lineage: Eukaryota; Metazoa; Chordata; Aves; Galliformes; Phasianidae
Description: lncRNA (ENSCJPG00005002840.1)
Source: RNAcentral
AACUUUGAUGAAAUUUCUCAACAAAUCUUUACUGCUGUCUGGAAUAAAGCCACUCUUUCUUCACCUUUGCCUACCUCUGCUGUGGAGCUCAUUAGCAUGUUCUCUCUUCUGUCUUUCUGCAAUUGAAUCCUGCGUAACUGAAAGCUCCUAUUCAUCAAAUUUUCCCUGUCUUGUUUGUGUCUCAGAGAUAUCAACAUCCUUCAUAACACUCGUUCAAAGCUUGGUCAAAACCUCAAGCUCUUCCUAGCAUUUCUGUGUUGUCUCUAUCUGGAUAUGAGCUCCUCAAAACCUUUGUGGUAUUUCCCUGCCUGGCCUUCAUCUGGUUCUUCAUCGUGCAGGCAUUUCUGUUAUCAACAUUCCUACAAGCCACAGACUGAGCUCUCAGACGCCUGGUGUUCUGGUUGUUUCUUUUGUCAGCCUGAGUUCCUUAGCAACCUGUCUUCUGGUUAUGUGUCAGUUGUUUCCCUACACCAGCAACUACUGAACUCAACUUCUACCAAAUUUGGCAAAAGCACAGAAAUAGCAAAGCACCCUCCUCACUGCAGUUCCCUCGUCCAUUUCUUUCAACAACCUUGAGAAAGCUGUGAUACAUCAGUACAGUGCAAUUCUUCAGAGGCUGCUGUUCAUUCAUUUCUGCAGUGACUACUGACAACACAGAUGCCAUGCACUCUGUAUCCCGAAACAGCCAAUUUAUUCACUGAGAGCUUUCAAACCAAGUGACUGCUAAUAACCCAGGCUCACCAUAACACAUGCUCAAACUGUAUACCUAGCUGGCUUAUUUUCUGCUGUAAAACAAUGGGUUUGCUCAGAUUCAAACGAUAGACUUCCAGCACUCUUAACUUUUGUGUGGCUGUGAUAGUCUUCUGGCUGUGACGACCCAUUCUGGGGGCAACAUGACCUGCAUAAAAUCAAAACAUUCUAUGUUCCUGGUUUUUAGUCAUUUUUUUCCAUCAUUUGCCAUUCACACACAUAAUAGUUGGUACUUUCCCAAGGUGUGCUUGAGUUUAGUACAAAUCAGAGACUUAAAGUAUGUGCCCUGAGCCCAUAGCCUAAAGGACAAGGGGAUUGCUCCCUAACUUGGCCACUGUCCUUCAGUGUGACGGAGGAAAAAGACUGCUAGCAAAACUUCUGGAGGUUUGGCUAUGUGCCCAUGGGAACACAAAAGCCUUUCUGCAUGGACAUAACCAUAAAGGGUCAUUAAAACACAAUUACAGCUCAUACUUUGUGAUGAUUGAAG